This 390-nucleotide ribosomal RNA is filed under the name uncultured bacterium. RNAcentral describes it as "bacterial SSU rRNA". It matches the Rfam family "Archaeal small subunit ribosomal RNA", at positions 336 to 726 of the family's 1478-position model. The record is from RNAcentral.
CAGGCGCGAAAACUUUACAAUGCUGGCAACAGCGAUAAGGGAACCUCGAGUGCCAGGUUACAAAUCUGGCUGUCGAGAUGCCUAAAAAGCAUUUCAUAGCAAGGGCCGGGCAAGACCGGUGCCAGCCGCCGCGGUAACACCGGCGGCUCGAGUGGUAACCGUUAUUAUUGGGUCUAAAGGGUCUGUAGCCGGCCGGAUAAGUCUCUUGAGAAAUCUGGCAGCUUAACUGUCAGGCUUUCAGGAGAUACUGUCUGGCUCGAGGCCGGGAGAGGUGAGAGGUACUUCAGGGGUAGGGGUGAAAUCUUGUAAUCCUUGAAGGACCACCAGUGGCGAAGGCGUCUCACCAGAACGGACCUGACGGCAAGGGACGAAAGCUAGGGGCACGAACCG